This is a long non-coding RNA of Platichthys flesus (European flounder), 654 nucleotides long. RefSeq lists it as uncharacterized. The record is from RefSeq and is a predicted model, not a curated record. The transcript is spliced from 3 exons. Lineage: Eukaryota; Metazoa; Chordata; Actinopteri; Pleuronectiformes; Pleuronectidae.
GCCUGAUGCUUGGUCAGGCCAGGAUGCUAGCUAACACUAUCUAUCACUAGUGAGCCAACUCUCAAUCCAAAAUGGCGACGACAAAAAGACGGAAGUCGUAGCAGGGAGCCGUGAGCACAGGAUCAAUGGCCAAAAUGGUUCCAUCACUUCCAGUACAACAGUGCGAGGUCCAGUCAUCACCAGCCUGGUCAUGGUCCUGUAGUCCAGGUCGAGAACACACUGACCGUUCACCUGGCACACAAACUGCUGCACCUACACACGAUUACAUCAGCAGCUGCUGCUGGACUUCCAGGGUCAACGGCCUGCACAUAACAGGGAGCCCGGCCUCUGACGACAAAACCCCAGCCCAGGGGGUCUCCUAUCACCUGUGAUCAUGGUGAGAGAGACGUCACACAUUCAGGAGAAGUGGAAUCUGUAUAGUUUGGACUUAAUCAGAUACAACUUCAUUUGUUCAGAUGGAUGAACCUUAAAGAUAGAGGCUUUAAGGUUCAAGGGUCACUUUAUUGCCAUUCACACCACACACUAAAAAUGACUUUGCAUCCAGCUCACAAAUGCAAUUGCUAGGGUUUGCUGAGUAUGUAUUAAAGCUGUUUUAAAAGUAAAGAUGUAGUUGUAAUAUAAGUUAUAGAGUGAGUAGAUAACUGAGGUACAAAC